AUCCAGCUUACCGGUCCCAGAUAGGACGAAACGCGCGUCAAACUGGAU
This is a non-coding RNA of Schistosoma mansoni, 48 nucleotides long. The record is from Rfam. Lineage: Eukaryota; Metazoa; Platyhelminthes; Trematoda; Strigeidida; Schistosomatidae.